GCCAGGUGUGGUGGCAGGUGCCUGUAGUCUCAGCUACUUGGGAGGCUGAGGCAGGAGGAUCACUAGAGCCUAGGAGUUCUGGGCUAUAGUGUGCUAUGCCCAUCGGGUAUCUGCACUAAGUUCAACAUUAUUAUGGUGACCUCCCGGGAGCAAGGAACCACCAGGUUGCCUAAGGAGUGGUGAACCGGCCCAGGUAGGAAACAGAGCAGGUCAAAACUCCCACGCUGAUCAGUAGUGGGAUCACACCUGUGAAUAGCCACUGUACUCCAGCCUGGGCAACAUAGUGAGACCCUGUCUCU
This is an unclassified non-coding RNA of Homo sapiens (human), 299 nucleotides long. The record is from Ensembl. NCBI's taxonomy places the organism in Eukaryota, Metazoa, Chordata, Mammalia, Primates, Hominidae.